Molecule: long non-coding RNA, 659 nt
Organism: Nothoprocta perdicaria
Lineage: Eukaryota; Metazoa; Chordata; Aves; Tinamiformes; Tinamidae
Exons: 2
Source: RefSeq, a predicted model, not a curated record
UCUUUCUUUCUACAUUUUCUUCUGCUCACAAGCAAGUACUUAGGUAGAAAUCACCAUCUUCAAACUAGUUUCAACAGAACAUUGAUUGCUGUGCCUAGAAAUAUUUGUGAAAAACAUUWAUUUCCUUGGGUUAAACUCCAGAUCUGUAAUGACCAUAAUGUUCCAACACCUGGACAAGGUGAAGCAUAACAUGAGCUAUGAAAAAACAGUGGAUCAGAAGAACCAAGAAGAGUAACACCRCCUCAUCUAAUGUGUCUAUUUGAAAUUUAAAGGCACAAUAUGUUAAAAGAAUCUGCUGUGUGUGGUCAUGCUGAUCUGCUAUCUACCCUGCUAGGAAGCAAAAAUGGAAGGCCAUCAAAGACUGUGUAUUGAUGGACCUCAAUAAGAAAUGUGGGCUUAAUUUAAAGAUUGAAGAUACUUUCCUGAUACAUGUGAACAUAUCACAAACUACCAAUAUUUUUGCACUGCAUGUGCUGGGAAUGGGUAUAAGGUAUGGGCUAAAAUGUACAAGGAUUUGGAUAUAUAAAGAUAUAUCGUUAAGGCUAUUUGUAAACUUUGUCUGGUAUUUACAGGUGGAUAGAAUAUGAGUUUCUCCUCAUGUCAGUAGUAACACCUGGUUUCUACUCCGGCUACUGUGUCAGUACUUCUGUUAUGAACCA